Molecule: long non-coding RNA, 1683 nt
Filed under: Macaca fascicularis (crab-eating macaque)
Lineage: Eukaryota; Metazoa; Chordata; Mammalia; Primates; Cercopithecidae
Description: lncRNA (ENSMFAG00000060100.1)
Source: RNAcentral
GGGUCGCAGUAAAGCUGAAGAAUCACUGGAGAGGGAAGACUGAGUGGGACGGGUACUGUGUUAGGAGAGUGGGACCUUUGAAGUCAAGAUGGUAUAGACAGCGCAACUGGGAGUAACGACAGAGUCAAGGGAACGGCCAUGGGGGUGAGUGGCCGCUAUACCAUAAAGGACAAGAUUGGUGGAAAAGAGCAAGGAGAGGAACCGGGAGGCUGAGUAUCGGAAGGAUCAUGUCUGUGGAUAAUGAAAUUGCCAAGGAUCAUUAUCAAGAGUAUUAUUAGAAAGAACGCUGAGAGCUGUUGUUUUCAAACCCUCCUUCCAGAACCUAGUGCUCUAAGGAGGGGAAGAAAUUCUGAAAUUUCAGCUCUCAGCCCCCAAGCAAAAACGUCCCCAGAGUCUCCUUCAAGUGCUAAUUGCAAAAUAAACAGAAAGCCAGCAGGGGCUGCCUGGGAAGAAGUGGAAACAGCAGAGGAGCAUCCCCUAGUUGGCCGGUGUUUGCCUCCGAAGAGCCCAGCUUUCCCAGUUGCUCUCCUUGCUUAAUGUGAAGAAUUAAGAGGUGGCGAGCGGCUGGGGGCCCUGAGGUGACUCAUCGCAGCCAGCCAGCCCUCGGUACGUUUCUGCAUGCAUUUUAUGUGGAAUCCUAGGCUGCUGGUUGAUGACAUCUUAGAUUUCAUAUUUAACUGCCAUGCGUGUUCUAGUGCAGAAAAGACUAAAUAUAGACUUGGAAUUGGGAAAUCUAAAAGGAAUAGCAGAGCAGCCUCAGUGGCCAGUGCUGGAGGGGGUGUGAGGAGCUAAGGACGUGGAAGUGUGGCCAAGAGGGCAUUGUUUCUGUCCAUUCCUGCCAAGGACCCUGCCCCGGGAUGAGGGUGCCAGGAAAGAAAAUACCAGCCCCAACGCACUAUUGAAGAUAAACAGCUUCCCUCUCUUCACUUACCAGAGUGGGGCUGCGGCUCCCCCGGUCCUCCCUGCAUGGAAGCGGCAGUGGAUUCUGCCCAGAGCUGUGGAGCCAGUUCCUCUCUGCCAGGUCAGACCUGGCCUUGAGACAGAGAGAGUGCCGGGCUCCCUGUUAGCCCCUCCCUUUACCCUCCAGGCCCAAGAAGCCCAACAGAAAAACCGGCCCCUUCCCCUAAGUCAGUCAUGGCUGCAGAUCAGCGUCUGAGGGGUGGGGCAGCGCGAUGCUUGGACCACACAUGAAUCCCAUCAGCAGCAUAUGUAGUGAGAUUUAGAGACUGGAAGGAUGGACAGGAGGGACUUACAUCCAAAGUCGGCUGUGGUUAUCUCUGGGUGAUAGGAUUAUGAUGACUUUUCCAUUUUCUUAUCCAUAUUUUCUAAAUUUUCUAUAAUUCGUAUGUAUUACUAACAUACAUACAAAAACUCCUAAUAAGCUUGUUUUGUUUUUUGUUUUUGUUUUUGAGACAGUGUCCUGUUCCGUCACCCAGGCUGAAGUGCAGUGGCGCGAUCUUGGCUCACUGCAACCUCCCCCUCCUGAGUUUAAGCAAUUCUGCCUCAGCCUCCUGAGUAGCGGUCGCUACAGGCGCCCGCCACCAUAUCUGGCUAAUUUUUGUAUUUUUAGUAGAGAUGGGGUUUCACCAUGUUGUCCAGGCUGGUUUCGAACUCCUGACCUCAGAUGAUCCACCUGCCUUGGCUUCCCAAAAUGCUGGGAUUGCAGGUGUGAGCCACUGUGCC